CAUGGCUCAGGAUGAACGCUAGCGGCAGGCUUAACACAUGCAAGUCGAGGGGUAACGGUCCACUUCGGUGGAGCCGACGACCGGCGUACGGGUGAGUAACGCGUAUGGAACCUUCCUUCAACAGGAGAAUAGCCCGAGGAAACUCGGAUUAAUACUCCAUUAAGUUACAUUUACGCCUGUAAUUGUAACCAAAGCUAAGGCGGUUGAAGAUGGCCAUGCGUAUCAUUAGUUUAGUUGGUAGGGUAACGGCCUACCAAGGCGACGAUGGUUAGGGGUCCUGAGAGGGUAUUCCCCCACACUGGAACUGAGACACGGUCCAGACUCCUACGGGAGGCAGCAGUGAGGAAUAUUGGUCAAUGGGCGAUAGCCUGAACCAGCCAUGCCGCGUGCAGGAUGACGGCCCUAUGGGUUGUAAACUGCUUUUCUGCGGGAAGAAAAGUGAGGAUUCGUUCUUUGCUUGACGGUACUGCAGGAAUAAGCAUCGGCUAACUCCGUGCCAGCAGCCGCGGUAAUACGGAGGAUGCGAGCGUUAUCCGGAUUCAUUGGGUUUAAAGGGUGCGCAGGCGGGGUGAUAAGUCAGUGGUGAAAGCCCGGAGCUUAACUCCGGGAUUGCCAUUGAAACUGUCACUCUUGAGUGCAGUCGGAGGCGGCGGAAUGAGUUAUGUAGCGGUGAAAUGCAUAGAUAUAACUCAGAACACCGAUCGCGAAGGCAGCUGCCUAGACUGUUACUGACGCUGAGGCACGAAAGCGUGGGGAGCCAACAGGAUUAGAUACCCUGGUAGUCCACGCUGUAAACGAUGAUCACUCGCUGUUGGCGAUAUAAAGUCAGCGGCUGAGCGAAAGCAUUAAGUGAUCCACCUGGGGAGUACGUCGGCAACGAUGAAACUCAAAGGAAUUGACGGGGGCCCGCACAAGCGGAGGAACAUGUGGUUUAAUUCGAUGAUACGCGAGGAACCUUACCUGGGCUUAAAUGUAGGGUGCAUGGAGGGGAAACCUUCCUUACCUUCGGGACUCCCUACAAGGUGCUGCAUGGUUGUCGUCAGCUCGUGCCGUGAGGUGUCGGGUUAAGUCCCAUAACGAGCGCAACCCCUAUCGUUAGUUGCCAUCAGGUAAAGCUGGGGACUCUAGCGAGACUGCCGGUGUAAACCGGAGGAAGGUGGGGAUGACGUCAAAUCAGCACGGCCCUUACGCCCAGGGCUACACACGUGUUACAAUGGCCGGAACAAAGAGCAGCUACCACGCGAGUGGAUGCUAAUCUUCAAAACCGGUCCCAGUUCGGAUCGAAGUCUGCAAUUCGACUUCGUGAAGGUGGAUUCGCUAGUAAUCGCGCAUCAGCCAUGGCGCGGUGAAUAAGUUCCCGGGCCUUGUACACACCGCCCGUCAAGCCAUGGAAGCCGGGGGUACCUGAAGUCCGUAACCGAUUUCACUUCGGUGGGAGAGGAGCGGCCUAAGGUAAAACCGGUGACUGGGGCUAAGUCGUAACAAGGU
RNAcentral lists this ribosomal RNA (1488 nucleotides) under uncultured bacterium. RNAcentral describes it as "bacterial SSU rRNA". It matches the Rfam family "Bacterial small subunit ribosomal RNA". The record is from RNAcentral.